RNAcentral lists this ribosomal RNA (550 nucleotides) under Aspergillus niger. RNAcentral describes it as "eukaryotic LSU rRNA". Lineage: Eukaryota; Fungi; Ascomycota; Eurotiomycetes; Eurotiales; Aspergillaceae. The record is from RNAcentral.
CUUUGGGCCACCUCCCAUCCGUGUCUAUUGUACCCUGUUGCUUCGGCGGGCCCGCCGCUUGUCGGCCGCCGGGGGGGCGCCUCUGCCCCCCGGGCCCGUGCCCGCCGGAGACCCCAACACGAACACUGUCUGAAAGCGUGCAGUCUGAGUUGAUUGAAUGCAAUCAGUUAAAACUUUCAACAAUGGAUCUCUUGGUUCCGGCAUCGAUGAAGAACGCAGCGAAAUGCGAUAACUAAUGUGAAUUGCAGAAUUCAGUGAAUCAUCGAGUCUUUGAACGCACAUUGCGCCCCCUGGUAUUCCGGGGGGCAUGCCUGUCCGAGCGUCAUUGCUGCCCUCAAGCCCGGCUUGUGUGUUGGGUCGCCGUCCCCCUCUCCGGGGGGACGGGCCCGAAAGGCAGCGGCGGCACCGCGUCCGAUCCUCGAGCGUAUGGGGCUUUGUCACAUGCUCUGUAGGAUUGGCCGGCGCCUGCCGACRUUUUCCAACCAUUCUUUCCAGGUUGACCUCGGAUCAGGUAGGGAUACCCGCUGAACUUAAGCAUAUCAAUAAGGCG